This 602-nucleotide unclassified non-coding RNA is filed under the name Hevea brasiliensis (rubber tree). The record is from RNAcentral. Lineage: Eukaryota; Viridiplantae; Streptophyta; Magnoliopsida; Malpighiales; Euphorbiaceae.
UGCAAUUACCCUUUUGAGAAUAGAAUAGAUAGACGAAAUGAAUGGCUUCAAACUCAUUAUCUAGCUCUACUUAUUUGGAUAUCAUCCUUUUUUAAUUUUAUUUUUUCAUUGACUGUUUACACUUACAUACUCCUAAUUAAAUUAGUAAAUUGAACAAACUUGAACAUUGAACUUAAUCAAAGGAAAUUCUUAUCAGUCCACCAUGAACAGGUAUUUUUGGUUACGAAAAAUAAUCCACUAAUCAACGAUGGCAACUCAAUGACUUCCAAGUGAUUCUGUUCAGCCACACCAUAUUUGAAGGAGAAUCACAAGACAUGGUUUUUCCAACAUUAUUAUGCAAAGAACAUUAUAUAUAGAUGCAGGUGCAGCCUGCAGGCAAAAUCUAUCCUCACUCCUCCAUCACUAGCAUGAUCUUUGAUACUUCUUGCUUAUGUCUGAUCUGCUCCGCUCUCAGUCUUCCUUUGUUUUUGUGCAUCAAGAUUGUAAUUGGGUAGCUCAUAAUUAAUAUUGGCUGAGAAAGCUAUUCUUCGGGAAUCGUCUUUCUGUUCCGUUCUUGUAUUGCAUGUAUAGAGACCAUGGUUGUUGAAAUUUCCUACCUUGGA